AACCGUUCAGUUUUUUACAUGAGCAAUUCAGCUACACAAAACUUAACAAAGGUUUGAAAGAUCAAACAUAAAUUGACUAGAAUGUACAUGUAGGACUUUGUAGCAAACAUAAAAAUACUUUUCUCUUGACCAAUAAUUUCACAAUACGUUCAGUUUUCGAAGUUACACAUUUUGCAGCUUUGUUAGUUUGAGCAAAUGGUUGAUAUAUCAGAUUGUAUGAUAUUGAGCGAUAGACGCUCACGAGAUUCAUAUCUCGGGAUAAGAACUGUUAGAUGACUAAAAAUCAAUGAACUACAUACAUAUAGAUACCCUCAUGGACCAUUUCCACAAGAAACCUAUAUGUAAUUCUCAAUGUUCUUAAUUUUUUCUUUGUAUGAACCCGUCACACGCACAUCACGCGUCACCAAAAACAUACCAUUUUUAUAAGAGACUGUGGAUUUAAUCCAAAGAGAUCCUUAAUCGAGACAUUUGACUUCACACCAACAUCCUUGUCUCCAAAAACAGUCCCAACUCCAAUCAAUUUCACAACAUCUAGAAAAUAUUGUAAUGUACAACUCAAGAAACAAGAUGUAACUUAUUGUGUUAUGUUUUAGUUCAAAUUUUCGUAAUCUUCCAAAUUGUCUCGAGUAGUUUCGGCUUGUAGAAAUAAUAAACUAUUUGGUUUUCUUUUGGAACAGCUCUAAAAUACGUAAAGUUGAAUUGCA
RNAcentral lists this long non-coding RNA (704 nucleotides) under Capsella grandiflora. RNAcentral describes it as "long non-coding RNA (CGRA_LNC000873)". Lineage: Eukaryota; Viridiplantae; Streptophyta; Magnoliopsida; Brassicales; Brassicaceae. The record is from RNAcentral.